AACGGAGAGUUUGAUCCUGGCUCAGGAUGAACGCUGGCGGCGUGCCUAACACAUGCAAGUCGAACGAUUAAGGCGCCUUCGGGCGUGUAUAGAGUGGCGAACGGGUGAGUAACACGUGACCAACCUGCCCCCCUCCCCGGGAUAACGCGAGGAAACCCGCGCUAAUACCGGAUACUCCGCCCCUCCCGCAUGGGAGGGGCGGGAAAGCCCCGACGGAGGGGGAUGGGGUCGCGGCCCAUUAGGUAGACGGCGGGGCAACGGCCCACCGUGCCUGCGAUGGGUAGCCGGGUUGAGAGACCGACCGGCCACAUUGGGACUGAGAUACGGCCCAGACUCCUACGGGAGGCAGCAGUGGGGAAUUUUGCGCAAUGGGGGGAACCCUGACGCAGCAACGCCGCGUGCGGGACGAAGGCCUUCGGGUUGUAAACCGCUUUCAGCAGGGAAGAAGUUGACGGUACCUGCAGAAGAAGCCCCGGCUAACUACGUGCCAGCAGCCGCGGUAAUACGUAGGGGGCGAGCGUUAUCCGGAUUCAUUGGGCGUAAAGCGCGCGUAGGCGGCCCGUCAAGCGGAACCUCUAACCCGAGGGCUCAACCCCCGGUCGGGUUCCGAACUGGCAGGCUCGAGUUUGGUAGAGGAAGAUGGAAUUCCCGGUGUAGCGGUGGAAUGCGCAGAUAUCGGGAAGAACACCGAUGGCGAAGGCAGUCUUCUGGGCCAUCAACUGACGCUGAGGCGCGAAAGCUGGGGGAGCGAACAGGAUUAGAUACCCUGGUAGUCCCAGCCGUAAACGAUGGGUGCUAGGUGUGGGGGGAUCAUCCCUCCGUGCCGCAGCCAACGCAUUAAGCACCCCGCCUGGGGAGUACGGCCGCAAGGCUAAAACUCAAAGGAAUUGACGGGGGCCCGCACAAGCAGCGGAGCAUGUGGCUUAAUUCGAAGCAACGCGAAGAACCUUACCAGGGCUUGACAUGCUGGU
This 971-nucleotide ribosomal RNA is filed under the name Gordonibacter urolithinfaciens. RNAcentral describes it as "bacterial SSU rRNA". It matches the Rfam family "Bacterial small subunit ribosomal RNA", at positions 1 to 993 of the family's 1533-position model. The record is from RNAcentral. Lineage: Bacteria; Bacillati; Actinomycetota; Coriobacteriia; Eggerthellales; Eggerthellaceae.